UGACUAUGCCUUCUUCUGCUAGUUUCCCUCCAAUCUUUCAUUCUUCUUCUGCUCUGUAGCCUGUUUCCCUCCAAUCUUUCAUUAGUUGUUCUGACAUUGAACUAGUGAUAUUUUGCUUUGAUCUGUAAAUAUAGUGGAAUAGGUACAUACCUUUUUAGUAAAUAUGUUGGCCUGUUGUUGCGUACAAUGUUUGGUUUCAUUGGCAGCUUCAAUUCAUCUGAGAUUGCAUGAAAAUGGAAACACUGCAGCCUCAUGCCUUAAAAGUUGCAGCUACUUCACCUACUUCACACUUCUUGUACAACCCAAUGUUG
RNAcentral lists this long non-coding RNA (311 nucleotides) under Oryza sativa (Asian cultivated rice). Its description in RNAcentral is "long non-coding RNA (OSAT_LNC000678)". The record is from RNAcentral. Lineage: Eukaryota; Viridiplantae; Streptophyta; Magnoliopsida; Poales; Poaceae.